Long non-coding RNA from Mytilus californianus (California mussel), 7012 nucleotides. RefSeq lists it as uncharacterized. The record is from RefSeq and is a predicted model, not a curated record. The transcript is spliced from 5 exons. NCBI's taxonomy places the organism in Eukaryota, Metazoa, Mollusca, Bivalvia, Mytilida, Mytilidae.
CGUAUCCUUCAAAGAACAGAACAUUACAGAUAGUUGUCCAAACAGAGAAUUUGCCAGUAGGAAUAGCUGUUGAUUCAGCCAAUGAUCAUAUCUACUGGGUUAUUCAAUUUGGAAACAAACUUUCAAGAUGUAAUCUAGACGGAACAAAUGCGACUGUUUUACCAACAUUGAUUGAACCCUGGGUGAUACGACUUGAUGUUUCAAAAAGGUGGAUGUAUAUAGUUGAAGAGAAUAUAGGAAUAUCGAAAUCUAGAUUCGAGUCAGCUGAAAAACAGACAAUCGUGAACUUUAUAUCAACACCUGUUCGAUGCAUGGAUAUAGACCCUGAUGAAAACAGACUGUAUUGGAUUAAUUACAAUGGUGACAUGAAAUCUGCCAAAGACGAUGGCUCUGAUGUUAAAACAAUCCUUUCAACAAAUGUUCGUAGAAACUACUAUGCCAUCGGUGUCUUCGGUAGUUACAUAUAUUAUACUAUUAGCAAUCAGUUGUUAAUGGAAACUAAAACACCCGGAUUCACAUCAACUGUUCUGUAUAACGGUACCAGCUUGAUUACCAGUAUAUUUGUGUUUAAUCAAUCAGGUAUGUAAAUAGUCAUUUAUAAUAGCGUUUAACAAUAAGCAAACCCAUAAAUCGACUUGGGUUAACACUUCUUACCAAUAUCAUAUAAGAUUAUUAUACACACACAUGCUUAGACAUGGUAGAAUGGUAUUUAUUUAUACAUUACUAGUAUGUCAUAAAAAGUAAAAUAACAAAAAAAACGAACUCCAAGUAAAAUUCAAAACAUAAAUUCCCUUAUCAAAUGGCAAAAUUAAAAGCUCAAACACAUCAAACGAAUGGAAAACAACUGUCAUAUUCCUGACUUGGUACAGACAUUUCCUUAUGUAGAAAAUGGUGGAUUAAACCUGGUGUUAUAACUAGCUAAACCUCUCACAAUUCCAUUAUAUUGACAACAAUAUAUGAGCAAAACCAACAUAAUAGGUAAAAUGUCAAAAAUUUGGGAACAGCAGUCAUUGUGUUAUCUUAAUCACAAUAAAAACAAAUAAACUACUCUACAAUUGAACAUGAAUACUACAAUAUAAGUGGAAGAAUUACGACAGACACGGUUAAAGUUAUUACUGCAACACCCGUCAUUAGAAUGUGUUGUGAUCAAUAUGAAAUUAAAAUCAAUGUGAACACACAUUGAGAUCAAAUUGAAAUAUGCAUACAUAUUUGUUACCAUAUUCGUACAAUGAAUAAGACUACAUGUUUUCGUUUAUAAUUCUGUAUGUUAAGUCACCAAACAUGUGUAGUAACGUAUUUUUGCCUUUUGUGUUUUGAAUAUGUUUCAAUCAUAUGAUAUAAACGUCUGUGAAAGCAUACCAACAUCAUAAUUGGCAUUAGAAAAGCCGAUGGGCUAAAAUGAUUCCCUUUGCACUCAGUUGUGAAGUGUUAUAAUUAAAACACCAGUACUUAGAAUUAUAAUUGAAGUCAAUCUAGAAAUAUUUUGUUUUUAUAUUUCUAAAGACAGCUUAUCAUGUAUUGAUGUCCUACAUGUGUUUUAUUGUUUAUUGUGAAUUGCUAGUUGCUUUCUAUUUUUUUUCAUAUUCAACUUUUAUUUCGUACAUAAAUAGCGUAUAGUUAUUGUUAUUAACCAAAUGUACAUGUUAUUUUCAUCCUAACGUUGCCAUCAAUGCUUUGCAUGCAAAUUAUUAAUGCAAUGUUAUUAUUUUAUACGUUUUAUGUUGUCUUCAUAGAUAAAAACGCAUUAUCAUUGAACACUUUUUUAUUUGAAUUAAUUAUCUUCGUUUUCUUUCUUUCAUUUCUUAGAUUUACUCAAUAAUGUUACUCACUUUAAAUUCAUUAUUGAUUAUAUGAUUUUUUAAUAUUAUAAAUGCUUACAGUGUAAUACCUGUCAUUAUUGUUAACGAGAAAACUAUUUACAAGACUUAGGUUUAUAAAGUAAUUUAAAUUUUCAAGACUGAAAUUGUUAUUAGUGAAAUUGUACAAACACGAGGUAAGUCAUUUUACCUUUUCAGUCUUUAUCAAUGAAAUAUUCUACUUAGCCCUAUUAGUGUUGAAAUAAUUUGAUAUGAUUGUCAAAUGAGACAACUCUCCGCUAGAGAUUAAAUGACAAAGCGGUUUCUUUUUUUUUAAAUUGAAUAUCAUUAGUUUUUUUAAAUCAAUUUCAUUUACCAAAUCCCGUGGUUCGUAUAUUCUGAAAUGUCUUUUUCUAAAUUUUACAAAUGACUUUCUUUUCAACGUCGAAAAACACGCGAAAAAUAAAAAAAAAACAAAACUUUUAGAGAUAUAAAAACACUUUUUUUUCAUUUUAAUUAAUUUCGCUUGCGUAUGAUGCAGUGACGUCAAUACAGGACUGACUUUAGGGUGAGAUGUACAUCCAUAGAGGCACUUAUUAAAUAUGGGUAAAAGGUAUUAUGAUAAGGUCUUGAAUAUUUUUACAUUUUUGUAAUUUUUAUACGACCGCAAAAAUUUUUUUGGGGUUCGUAUAAGGGUAUCAUGUCGUCGUCGUCGUCUGUGUCAUCGUCGUCGUUCGAAGACACAUUUAGUUUCCGGACAAUAACUUUAGUUUAAGUGAAUGGAUCUCUAGGAAAUUUAACCAGAAGGUUCAAUACCACAAAAGGAAGCUUGUGAUUGAUUUUGGGGGUCAUGGUACUAACAGUUUAGGAAUUAGCGGCCAAAAAGGGGCAUUAUUUUUGUAGUUUCCUGACAAUAACUUGUGUGUAAGUGUAUGGAUCUCUCUGAAAUUGUACCACAAGGUUUCAUAUUUCAAAAGGCUUGGAUUGAGUUUUGGGGUAUUUGCCCCAAACGUUCAGGAAUUAGGGCCAAAAAAGGGGCCAAAAACAAGCAAUUUUCUAAUUUCCAGACAAUAACUUGUGUUUAAGUGUAUGGAUCUAUCUGAAUUUGUACUACAAGGGACCAUACCACAAAGGGAAGGCUGGGAGGAUUUUUUAUUAUUUUUUUUUUUUCUAAUUUUUUUUUCAUUUUUACAUUGAUUAUAUCAGACGAUACUUCAAAUUUUUACGAUCUUUGACCACAUUUAUUUUGUGUCAGACCUAUAUUAUGUCAAAAAUUUGACCACAAUCCAAAUUCAGACAGUAUCAAGCUUGAAUAUUGUGUCCAAACUUGCCCCAACUGUUCAGGGUUUGAUCUCUGCGGUCGUAUCAGGCUGCGCUCGGCGAAGCAUUUUAUUGUAUCAUGUUACCAAUUAAUGUUUGAUCACAUACUAUAAUAGUAAAUUUGUUCUUUUGUCGAUGCAGUAUAUAAAUGUUGACAAAAAAGGAAAAAAUAAUUCAGAAAACUCAUGACUUAUUGCAUAUUAAAUCAUCUGUAAAAUAUAAAAACAUGAUAUAUUGGCAUAUGUUACACGCGACAUAUCGUAAAAAUUAUGAACAAAGAGCGAUCAAUAUAAUAACAAAAAAACAGCUUUUGAAGAAAGGCUAGACAUCGAAAUGAAGUCAUGUCUUCCAGAAAGGUUAUACUGGCAAAUUUUAUAUGCAGCCUGAUGUUUAGUUCUUAUCAAAAUACAAGUAAAUUUGCGAUAUUUUGCAACAGUUCAAUUAUAUGUGAAACAUAUGAUAUUUUUAAUGUUAAAAACAAACAAAAAAUGUUGAAUGGCAUUUCGAUUUAUAUCUAUCAUACACAGUCUUUGAUAUUUCCUUGCCAUCAGUUUGGUUUUUCACAAUUGAGAAAUAAUUGAGUUGUCUCUCGUUUUUUUUAGCCUACAUCAUGUCAAAAUUCUGGGCAUAUUACAAGAUGGAGUUUUCCUUUAUUUUGUUUACACUGCUGAAGUUUAAAAAUCCAUUCUGCAUUACAGUCACUAACAUUAGAGUGCAGGACGGCAAGAGUUCAAAGAAAUUCUUUGAGCACUACUUUUAUCGGCAUUCUAUAUUUAUCAUGUGUGUUUGUUGGUACUUUCAUUUUAUUAUAUACUAUAGCGCUAUUUUGGUGUUUUCUUUACUGAUAAGUGUUGGUUUAAAAUAGGGGAAGUCUCAGAUAUAUAUGUUAUAGAUUCGAAUUGAUUACAAGCUUGACAUAUUGAAAAACACCUGGUUGUUGUUAACAGUAUGUUGACAUCGUUAUUGUGUUUUUGUGUCCUUGUGUUGUUGUCUAAUUGACGUUUACCCCCCUUUAUUUAUAUUCAAAUGGAUAGAUCGUUGUGUACCUAAACUUUAUUUUUAUUUUAACAGAGUAAUAUUUAAAAUAAAAACACCGGAGAACAAAAUGACUAUUUAGUGUUUAUCAUAAUGUGAGUCAAUACAACAAAAUCCGCCGGAAAAAUUCAACUUCAUAAAUGAGAAAUGUACACCAUUCUAUUAGAUUGUUGAAUAUUGAAUAUUUGGUAUUUGUAUUCCUACCCGCAAGAUCGUUUGGUUCUGAUUCGACGUUGAACAAUUAAACUGAGCAUUUUGAAAAUAUUGUACAGUAAUCAGGACUUGCUGAUAAUUGUUGCUGUAACAUUUCUGUUUGUCUAUUAUGAUAGGUUUCGAGAUACUAUAUGGAACACGGAAAUUGGUUUUCAGAAUUGUCAGGUCAAUAGCUGUACGGAGACGUCUGAUAGGUUAAAUUUAAAAGACGAUAUACUAAACCGCAUGAAUUGUUGAUAAUUUUGGAUGCCGACAUCAAUCUAUCGAAACAAGUAGACAAUGAUUUCAAUUUCAUCAAUAUUGCCACAAGGGAGAUAAUAUGUGGUCCAUCAUGACAUUUCCAGGCUUAUUUAAGAGAUAAGAACAUCGGUAAACUACUGUCGCCUUAAUGCAUCAUCUAAUGGCUAGAAUAUCUACUGGUGAACAGUACUUUCCACGAUAAUUUACCAGCCUGGUAGCUUACAUGCAUGGCAAUUAUUAGAAGAAGAACCGAUCAACUGGAUGACGCGUCGUCCAGGAUAAAAUGAUGUCAGCAGGGAUGUUGUCAAGGACACAACAACUCCGAAAGAAAUAGGUGGCCCUAGGAUCAUUUAUAAAAAAGUUCAUUAGAACAAACUUGUUCUGUCUUCGAAUUCCUCGUUUUACUGCCAAAAUUCAGACAAGUUUAUGUAUAGUCGGCCAUGAACUUUACAACUUUCAGAUAAAUUAGAUCAACACAAUUUAUAGUCUUUAAAACUGUACAUACUUUGUCUUAGUUUUCUAUGUUGUGUUUUGUGUACUAUUGUUUGUCUGUUUGACUUUUUCUUUUUUAGCCAUGGCGUUGUCGGUUUAUUUUUCGAUUUAUGAGUUUGAAUGUCCCUCUGGUAUCUUUCGCCUUUCUUUUGUCAUGAAUUUUGCAUGAAUACUUAUGUUUGAAAAAGCGAAUGACAAAAGCUGUCAUGUCACUUAAAUAGUAAAUAAAAUUUUUAUCCCGAUGAAAAAAUAGCGUAGCUGGAAAAAAAACAAAGCUAUACAAUUUUUUUAAAAUUAUCACCAUUUUUGUAGCAAGUCAGUUCUAGAUGAAAAUAUCGUCGAAUAUAAAUACAUAUAGAGAAAAUCAUCAAUCAAACAUUCGUAAGUUUUAAGAAAAUACACUUCGCAAAGUUAAAUGAGCUUCUUUGAUGCAAAUCUUGAUUUUGUUAUUCAAUCACAAAUUAAGCUGAGAUAAAUGACAUAUUUCACGUCUUAAAUCAUUUUUCUUUGGUUAAUAAGAUAGACUUAUUCUACAUAUAUGUCCCUUCUAUGGUAAAGAAUGCACAGUAUCAGGAUAUCAAAGAAUUUCAAAAGCUGCUAUGUCUUCCGUCGUUUGCUUUAGAGGAAAAUGGGAGGCCUGAGAUGUAAACAGUUAUCGCUUUUUGUGUAAUUUUCCUUUGAUCUUUUUCCUAUCAUGCUAUUCGCUUGAGAUAGAAAACUGUCGCUAUAAACUAACUGCGCACGUGCUGUUGUCAAUGUAAACAUCAAUGACGUUAUAGGCAAAAGAGCGAUAAACAGAUUAUCAAUGGUUUUUCAUACUCGAGGAUGUUUCUCGGCAACAUUUCAUCUCAGGGCUGUCGCCAUUCAAUGAGAUUUAAGCUGAAAAACAUCCUCUCAUCUGAAAAUCCAUCGAUAAUCUCUAUAUAUUGAAGACAACACCAAAUACAAACACACGACUCCUCCAAAAUAUAUUCGUACUAACAAACAACACAUGGCCAUGAUAAUCUGACAUCACGGCCGCGUGCAGUCACAAGAUAUGGUUGAGUUAAACCCAUAUCACGUUACUACACCGAUCAAGAUCUAAUAUCGUAAAAUUAAACACACACAAUAAAAAACAUGCAGCUACCAGCAUGAUGACUAUCAACUUGAACAAGUAAAUAAUUUGGAAAGAAUUAUUAAAGCAUCAAGCAAACGCGUAUAUUAACUUAGUUAAAAGUUUUAUUAAGAAAAUGAAACGAUUUGUAUUACAUGAUUUUACUGUUAGAAAAUAAAUUGUUUCUUGGUAUUAACCAUAAAGAUAUUUACUUAUUAUUUGCAAAUGUCUCUCAUCAUAUAGCCCUAUUUUGGUGAAUUAAAAAGAUAUUCCUGUUAACUUGGUGUAAGCCUUACAGCUCUGCACUUAUUUGAGCAUUUAUAAUGACAGUUUCAUCAAGUAGAGGUGAUUAUUUCAUUUAUGUAUUUCAUCUUAGGGACAAUUAUCCUUGGAAAUCGUUCCUGUUCCUGACAAGUAGAUACACGACUUUAAUUCUCGGACUUUGAUUAUUGUUUAUAUAUAUAGUUGCUUUUCCUUUCAUUUAUAUUAACAGUUAUACAUUCUUUAAUCGUUAUUAUAUUUUAGAAACUGGCAUCAGGAAUAAGAAAUUCUGGGAAAUUUUUCUUUUCACUUUAGAAUUUUAUACUGAAUUUUUCAUUAUUCCUUGUGUUGAUGUGCUUUUGAUGUGGACACAAUCUGCAAAUUCUGCAACAUCGAUAUAAAAAGAAAUUAAAAUAAGAUAUGAAGAGAGCAUGAGUCAAAAGUAUCAAAUAUGCAAAAAUUAUUCUUUAAUGUUAUCAUGAUUUAUGCAAUGAAGUAGGAAAAGAGAAUAGACUAGAUUUUCUCUUUUUCAAAUAGAAAUCGUUGUAUAUUAACUGUAUAU